Molecule: unclassified non-coding RNA, 296 nt
Organism: Macaca nemestrina (pig-tailed macaque)
Lineage: Eukaryota; Metazoa; Chordata; Mammalia; Primates; Cercopithecidae
Rfam family: Metazoan signal recognition particle RNA
About the family: The signal recognition particle (SRP) is a universally conserved ribonucleoprotein. It is involved in the co-translational targeting of proteins to membranes.
Source: Ensembl
GCUGAGUGUGGUGGCACAGCCUGUGGUCCCAGCUACUCUGGAGGCGGAGGAAGAUCAUUUGAGCCCAGGAGUACUGGUCUGGAGUGAGCUUAUGCCUGUUGGGUAUCUGCAGUCAGCUCGGCAUCAAUAUGGUGACCUUUCGGGAGUGGGGACCACCAAGUUGCCUAAGGAGGGGUGAACUGGCUUGGUAGGAGACAGAACAGGUAAAAACUCCCGUGCUGAUGAGCCGUGGGAUUGCAUCUGUGCAUAGCCACUGCCCUCCAGCUUGGGCAACAAGAGACAAGACCCUGUCUCCA